GGGCCUUUAGCUAAGUCUGGUCACAGCACCCGGCUCAUAACCGGGCGAUUCGCCGGUUCAAAUCCGGCAGGGCCCA
Molecule: transfer RNA, 76 nt
Filed under: Natronomonas sp. CBA1123
Lineage: Archaea; Methanobacteriati; Methanobacteriota; Halobacteria; Halobacteriales; Natronomonadaceae
Description: tRNA-Ile
Rfam family: tRNA
About the family: Transfer RNA (tRNA) molecules are approximately 80 nucleotides in length. Their secondary structure includes four short double-helical elements and three loops (D, anti-codon, and T loops).
Source: RNAcentral